AAGACUAUAGACCUGCGGAGUACCUGCGGAGGGAUCAUUAUCGUAUUGUAACAAUUGGGGGGGCCACCGUGGGCUGUCGCUGACCCUUUGAAAGGGGGGUCGUGCACGCCCCCAUAGUGUCAUCCUCAUACAAUCCAACUCACCUCUGUGCAUCACCGCGUGGGUUCCUUUCUGGGUCGAGUCAGACUGGCUCAGAAAAAAGGGGCUUGCGUUUUCCAUACAACUACCCUUAUAAAUCCA
This 240-nucleotide unclassified non-coding RNA is filed under the name soil metagenome. RNAcentral describes it as "partial contains 5.8S ribosomal RNA, internal transcribed spacer 2, and large subunit ribosomal RNA". The record is from RNAcentral.